GACGAACGCUGGCGGCGUGCUUAACACAUGCAAGUCGAACGGAAAGGCCUCUUUCGGGGGGUACUCGAGUGGCGAACGGGUGAGUAACACGUGAGUAACCUGCCCUUGACUUUGGGAUAACUUCAGGAAACUGGGGCUAAUACCGGAUAGGAGCUCCUGCUGCAUGGUGGGGGUUGGAAAGUUUCGGCGGUUGGGGAUGGACUCGCGGCUUAUCAGCUUGUUGGUGGGGUAGUGGCUUACCAAGGCUUUUACGGGUAGCCGGCCUGAGAGGGUGACCGGCCACAUUGGGACUGAGAUACGGCCCAGACUCCUACGGGAGGCAGCAGUGGGGAAUAUUGCACAAUGGGUGGAAGCCUGAUGCAGUAACGCCGUGUGCGGGAUGACGGCCUUCGGGUUGUAAACCGCUUUCGCUCAUGACGAAGCUUUGUGUGACGGUAGUGGGUAAAGAAGCACCGGCUAACUACGUG
This 467-nucleotide ribosomal RNA is filed under the name uncultured bacterium. RNAcentral describes it as "partial 16S ribosomal RNA". It matches the Rfam family "Bacterial small subunit ribosomal RNA", at positions 28 to 507 of the family's 1533-position model. The record is from RNAcentral.